This 1137-nucleotide ribosomal RNA is filed under the name Flavobacterium sp. RNAcentral's name for it is "bacterial SSU rRNA". It matches the Rfam family "Bacterial small subunit ribosomal RNA", at positions 66 to 1214 of the family's 1533-position model. Lineage: Bacteria; Pseudomonadati; Bacteroidota; Flavobacteriia; Flavobacteriales; Flavobacteriaceae. The record is from RNAcentral.
GGUAUGCUUCUUCGGAAUUAGAGACCGGCGCACGGGUGCGUAACGCGUAUGCAAUCUACCUUUUACAGAGGGAUAGCCCAGAGAAAUUUGGAUUAAUACCUCAUAGUAUUAUGAAAUGGCAUCAUUUUAUAAUUAAAGUCACAACGGUAAAAGAUGAGCAUGCGUCCCAUUAGCUAGUUGGUAAGGUAACGGCUUACCAAGGCUACGAUGGGUAGGGGUCCUGAGAGGGAGAUCCCCCACACUGGUACUGAGACACGGACCAGACUCCUACGGGAGGCAGCAGUGAGGAAUAUUGGACAAUGGGCGCAAGCCUGAUCCAGCCAUGCCGCGUGCAGGAUGACGGUCCUAUGGAUUGUAAACUGCUUUUAUACAGGAAGAAACCCUGGUUCGUGAACCAGCUUGACGGUACUGUAAGAAUAAGGAUCGGCUAACUCCGUGCCAGCAGCCGCGGUAAUACGGAGGAUCCAAGCGUUAUCCGGAAUCAUUGGGUUUAAAGGGUCCGUAGGCGGUUUAGUAAGUCAGUGGUGAAAGCCCAUCGCUCAACGGUGGAACGGCCAUUGAUACUGCUAAACUUGAAUUAUUAGGAAGUAACUAGAAUAUGUAGUGUAGCGGUGAAAUGCUUAGAGAUUACAUGGAAUACCAAUUGCGAAGGCAGGUUACUACUAAUUGAUUGACGCUGAUGGACGAAAGCGUGGGUAGCGAACAGGAUUAGAUACCCUGGUAGUCCACGCCGUAAACGAUGGAUACUAGCUGUUGGGGGCAACUUCAGUGGCUAAGCGAAAGUGAUAAGUAUCCCACCUGGGGAGUACGUUCGCAAGAAUGAAACUCAAAGGAAUUGACGGGGGCCCGCACAAGCGGUGGAGCAUGUGGUUUAAUUCGAUGAUACGCGAGGAACCUUACCAAGGCUUAAAUGUAGUUUGACCGAUUUGGAAACAGAUUUUUCGCAAGACAAAUUACAAGGUGCUGCAUGGUUGUCGUCAGCUCGUGCCGUGAGGUGUCAGGUUAAGUCCUAUAACGAGCGCAACCCCUGUUGUUAGUUGCCAGCGAGUCAUGUCGGGAACUCUAACAAGACUGCCAGUGCAAACUGUGAGGAAGGUGGGGAUGACGUCAAAUCAUCACGGCCCUUACGCCUUGGGC